RNAcentral lists this non-coding RNA (800 nucleotides) under Therea petiveriana. RNAcentral describes it as "12S ribosomal RNA". The stretch from base 386 to 793 matches the Rfam family "Microsporidia small subunit ribosomal RNA", at positions 752 to 1303 of the family's 1311-position model. The record is from RNAcentral. Lineage: Eukaryota; Metazoa; Arthropoda; Insecta; Blattodea; Corydiidae.
UAAAAGUUUUAUUCUUGCUAAAGAAAUUUAUUUGUUUCUUUAAUUUAUAUGCAAAUUUUUGUUUUGAUUUAAUUCUAGAUGAAUUAGAUAGUUUGGUGGUUAUGUAUGUUAAUGCAGUAUUUAAUUUUGUUUAAUUGGGUUACUCUUGAUUUAGUAAUAGAAUUUAGUUUUGGUUAAAUUUGUGCCAGCAGCCGCGGUUAUACAUGGAAGGCUAGUAAAUGUUUUUGGUUAAUUAGUUAUUAUGGUUUAUAUUAAUUUUGUUUUAUUUUAUUUAGGUGAAAUUAUAUUGUUUAUUAUGUUAAUUUUAUUUGUAGGAAGCUGAGAAAUCAAUAUUUAUAAACUAGGAUUAGAUACCCUAUUAUUUUUGAUGUAAAGUUUUGUACCUGAGUAGUAUUAGUAUUAUGAUCUUGAAACUUAAAGAAUUUGGCGGUAUUUUAGUCUUCUUAGAGGAAUCUGUCCCGUAAUCGAUAUUCCACGUUGAAUACUUACUUAAUCUAAUGUUUAUAUACCGCUGUUUUGUAGAGUGUCUUUUUAGGGUAAUAAAAUUUCUUUUUUUUUAUUUGAAUUUAUUUCAGGUCAAGGUUUAAUUUAUGAUUAAGAGGAGAUGGGUUACAAUGCGUAUAGAGCAUAAUGGAAUUUAAGUUGUAAUAUUUGAAUGAAGGUGGAUUUAAUAGUAAUUUGAUUUAGAAUGUUGAGGUGACUUUGGCUCUAAAAUAUGUACACAUCGCCCGUCGCUCUCGUUAUUAAGAUGAGAUAAGUCGUAACAUAGUAGCUGUACUGGAAAGUGUAGUUGGAAUUAU